RNAcentral lists this unclassified non-coding RNA (154 nucleotides) under soil metagenome. RNAcentral describes it as "partial internal transcribed spacer 1". The record is from RNAcentral.
GUGAUUAGAUCGAGCGUGUCUUCAGUUGACCGCUCACCCUUCUCACCAUCCACAUACACCUGUGCACUGUUUAGCCUGAGCCGGUUUUCCGGUCCAGGUUAUCAUUUCAUACAAACUCUAGUCUUAUGAAUGUAAACGUUUUAAUAACAUAAUA